AAUUAUCUAGAUGCAACCCUCACAAGUCACAACCAUUGUUCAGCAGAAAACAAAGAGAGAAGCGCAAGGAGAUCACGAUGAGCAGUGGUGACGAGCAACUUCGACUUCGACGGUCGACUUCGACAAAUCUAACCUGAGGUAUUUCUCUCUCUGUGGAAAUAAAUGAUUUUAACUUCGUUGAUUUCGAACUCGUCAUCGUCUUCAAAUAGGUCAAGCUUUGGCACUUCAUUCGCAGCCUUGGGUUCAGUUUCCAUUCCUAAUAUCGUCUUCAAUUGUAAAUGACACCAGAUCUGUGGAUUUCCACAUAAUAAUAUAUAGAUAGAGAUAGAUAGAUAAAGAGAGAGAGAGGGGAGGGAGGGAGGGAGGGGACGCAGCGAUGAUAACAUGAUCGAAUCUGGCAGAACAGCUUCGGGAAUAUCAGAUUCGAUCGAAGCAUGAUUGGACUUCCGUCUCCUUCUUCUCCUCUACUUCUAAUCUCACGUCUUCAAGGUAUCUCUCAAAUCUCCCAAAAUAGGGGUUAUAUUCUCUCAAUUUCUGUUGACUUCUUUAGGUUUGUUCUUUAGGGUUUAAAUUUCACAUUUGCGUGAUCUAUGGCUGAUUAGGAAUGGUAAUUAAUUGAGAUUAGUCUGAACGAUUACUGGAUGAUGGAUCCUAUUCGAUCAAUUACGUUUUUUGUGUGCAUUAGUGGGUUUUAAUUUAUUUUUACAGUUCUUGAUUAUAGGUGUUUGAAUUGCGAAAGCAUGAAUCAAGAAUUUCUGAAAUUAAAACUACCAAACUAUAAUUCACGUGUUAAUUGUUCUUAGAAUGAUGCAUUAUGUCCAGAGGUAUUCUCCCUCGUCUGUUAUGAUAUUGUUCUGCUAAUAUGUAUAUGUAUAUACAUAUUAUGUAUAUGUAUAUGUAUAUGUCUAUAUAUGAUAUUGUUCUGCUAAUAUGUAUAUAUGUAUAUAUACAUAUUUAUAUGUUAGCCCUAUGGCGUCAAUCCGAUAUGUUGCCCCAAAUAUUAUGAGGAUAACAAAUUCUAUCUAUUACUCUAAUGUAUUUAAUCAAGUAUGAUAGUUCAAGAAACAUUCAAGCACAUAUCUCAAGGAGC
RNAcentral lists this long non-coding RNA (1090 nucleotides) under Actinidia chinensis (golden kiwifruit). RNAcentral's name for it is "long non-coding RNA (ACHI_LNC004823)". The record is from RNAcentral. Lineage: Eukaryota; Viridiplantae; Streptophyta; Magnoliopsida; Ericales; Actinidiaceae.